Molecule: long non-coding RNA, 513 nt
Filed under: Homo sapiens (human)
Lineage: Eukaryota; Metazoa; Chordata; Mammalia; Primates; Hominidae
Description: HSALNT0209657
Source: RNAcentral
GAGAACAUUUGACCUAGGUGUUGAAAGAGAGAAGAAAUUGGACAGCCAGGGGUGGGAAUGAAGAGAAGACUCCAGAGUGGAGACCCAUCCUAAGGGAAGGCAGGAUGAGGAGAGCAUGAAGAGACAGGGAAAAUGGUGAGUUAUUCCAUUUGGGUGAACUGCGAUGAAGCCCUUUCCUAGAGUUUCCUUGGGACAGAAAAAGUAAGGUUCCUUUUUUGAAGUAGACACUCAAAGCAGGAAGCACCGGCUAUGUAGAUAUUCGGCUCAACUUUUGAAAGAGAAAGGUUAUACCCAAGUAAAUGUUCCAGGAUGAACUAUCCUUAAAAUCACCUGCUUACCUCUCAGGAUAUGUUAAAGAGCUAUUAGAUGACCAGAAUGACCUGAAAUAUCUUGAAAAGAGUUAUCAGCUGCAUGCGAUGGCUCACACCUGUAAUCCCAGCACUUCAGGAGGCCAAGGUGGGUACAUCUCUUGAACCAGGAGUUUGAUACUAGCCUGGCCAAGAUGGUGAAACC